AAUGGGGGGAACCCUGACCGAGCAACGCCGCGUGAGUGAAGAAGGUUUUCGGAUCGUAAAGCUCUGUUGUUAAGGAAGAACGUGUGUGAGAGUGGAAAGUUCACACAGUGACGGUACUUAACCAGAAAGGGACGGCUAACUACGUGCCAGCAGCCGCGGUAAUACGUAGGUCCCGAGCGUUGUCCGGAUUUAUUGGGCGUAAAGCGAGCGCAGGCGGUUAGAUAAGUCUGAAGUGAAAGGCAGUGGCUCAACCAUUGUAGGCUUUGGAAACUGUUUAACUUGAGUGCAGAAGGGGAGAGUGGAAUUCCAUGUGUAGCGGUGAAAUGCGUAGAUAUAUGGAGGAACACCGGUGGCGAAAGCGGCUCUCUGGUCUGUAACUGACGCUGAGGCUCGAAAGCGUGGGGAGCGAACAAGAUUAGGUACCCUGGUAGUCCACGCCGUAAACGAUGAGUGCUAGGUGUUAGGUCCUUUCCGGGACUUAGUGCCGCAGCUAACGCAUUAAGCACUCCGCCUGGGGAGUACGACCGCAAGGUUGAAACUCAAAGGAAUUGACGGGGGCCCGCACAAGCGGUGGAGCAUGUGGUUUAAUUCGAAGCAAGCGAAGAACCUUACCAGGUCUUGACAUCCCGAUGCCCGCUCUAGAGAUAGAGCUUUACUUCGGUACAUCGGUGACAGGUGGUGCAUGGU
RNAcentral lists this ribosomal RNA (687 nucleotides) under Streptococcus intermedius. Its description in RNAcentral is "bacterial SSU rRNA". It matches the Rfam family "Bacterial small subunit ribosomal RNA", at positions 370 to 1049 of the family's 1533-position model. The record is from RNAcentral. Lineage: Bacteria; Bacillati; Bacillota; Bacilli; Lactobacillales; Streptococcaceae.